RNAcentral lists this ribosomal RNA (914 nucleotides) under uncultured archaeon. Its description in RNAcentral is "bacterial SSU rRNA". It matches the Rfam family "Archaeal small subunit ribosomal RNA", at positions 1 to 922 of the family's 1478-position model. The record is from RNAcentral.
UUCCGGUUGAUCCUGCCGGACCUGACUGCUAUCGGAUUGAUACUAAGCCAUGCGAGUCUUUGCAGUAAUGCAAGGCAUACGGCUCAGUAACACGUAGUCAACUCACCCUAUGGACGAGGAUAAUCUCGGGAAACUGAGCAUAAUACUCGAUAGAUCAUAAUGCCUGGAAUGGUUUAUGGUUGAAAUGAUUCGUCGCCAUAGGAUGGGACUGCGGCCUAUCAGCUUGUUGGUGAGGUAAUGGCCCACCAAGGCGAUUACAGGUACGGGCUCUGAGAGGAGAAGCCCGGAGAUGGGUACUGAGACAAGGACCCAGGCCCUAUGGGGCGCAGCAGGCGAGAAAACUUUGCAAUGUGCGAAAGCACGACAAGGUUAAUCCGAGUGAUUUCUGCUAAAGAAAUCUUUUGCAAGUCAUAAAACCACUAGUGAAUAAGGGGUGGGCAAGUUCUGGUGUCAGCCGCCGCGGUAAAACCAGCACCUCAAGUGGUCAGGAGGAUUAUUGGGCCUAAAGCAUCCGUAGCCGGCUCUGUAAGUUUUCGGUUAAAUCCAUGUGCUCAACGCAUGGGCUGCCGAAAAUACUGCAUAGCUAGGGAGUGGGAGAGGUAGACGGUACUCGGUAGGAAGGGGUAAAAUCCUUUGAUCUAUCGAUGACCACCUGUGGCGAAGGCGGUCUACCAGAACACGUUCGACGGUGAGGGAUGAAAGCUGGGGGAGCAAACCGGAUUAGAUACCCGGGUAGUCCCAGCCGUAAACGAUGCAGACUCGAUGAUGCAUUGGCAUAUAGCCAGUGCAGUGUCGCAGGGAAGCCGUUAAGUCUGCCGCCUGGGAAGUACGUACGCAAGUAUGAAACUUAAAGGAAUUGGCGGGGGAGCACCACAAGGGGUGAAGCCUGCGGUUCAAUUGGAAUCAACGCCGGA